Acanthopagrus latus (yellowfin seabream) is the source of this 842-nucleotide long non-coding RNA. RefSeq lists it as uncharacterized. The record is from RefSeq and is a predicted model, not a curated record. NCBI's taxonomy places the organism in Eukaryota, Metazoa, Chordata, Actinopteri, Spariformes, Sparidae. The transcript is spliced from 2 exons.
UACAUGGUGGAAAAAGACAGCAAGUGGAAAUGUAUGUUUUUGUUUUUUUUUUAAGUACGAUUUUAAGUUCGAAAGUGGGCCCGCUGCAGCAAGGACAAAGCCUCUGUACAUGGGUGCUGCUUUACCAACUGAGCUAAACAGCACCCCUAGGAAGUGGAAAUUUGAUGUGACACACUGGGAGAGAACCUACAAAAUCUUUCAUUGCAAAUCACAACAGAGUAAUUUUGCCCACCACACUGUUUCAAAGCAUCUGCUGUUUCGCCCAUUACACCCCCGCCAUCUCAUCUUCUUCUGCCCUUGCCAGUUACACAAAUAUUUUCAUACUCAAGAGCGAUCAUUUUCUCUAAAGAGCAGGGGAAGAAAUCAGAGUUUGACAAAGGCCAGAGUUCCACGUGUGAUUGAGUGCCGGUAAGGCGAGACUUCCACUCGGAGGCCUCUGCAGUCUCCAGCGGCUGAACUUGCUCUGACUUUCUGCAAAACUUGAUUCUCUGAUUGCUUCAGAAAUACUUUGGUCUCUCAACGUCUUCACAAACACCACCUGUGCCGUGUAGGUGGCAAGAGGCGGGAGAAUGAAUUGUUGCAUUUAUUAUUUUCCUAUUUUUCAACUCAGGGAGACGAUAAUUGGGACGUCUGAUGACUCAGAUUUACAUACUGUUGCUGCAGGACGCAGCGUGACGUCUCUCCUAGUCAGUGUACCUUUUCACUACGUCUUCUCCCACAUCUUCUUCAUCUCAGGCUAUUUUUAACCUCACUCUGUCUGUCUCCUGCCUCUCUAUUUUUGUUUCAUUAUUUUCAGUGAAAAAGCACCGAGUGUCAGAGUAAUAAAAGUGUUUGCGAUUUUA